Molecule: long non-coding RNA, 1212 nt
Organism: Cyprinus carpio carpio
Lineage: Eukaryota; Metazoa; Chordata; Actinopteri; Cypriniformes; Cyprinidae
Source: Ensembl
UUGCCCUUAUGAUAAUUCCAUUGUCCGGCAAUCGUUACAAAUUUGGUCCCAAUUUCGAACCCAUUUUGGCCUUCAGCACUUACCAGUGGUUUCAACUAUGAAUUGCAACCCUUUAUUCCCUCCUUCACUUAAUGACAAGGCAUUUAAUAUUUGGCAGAGAGCAGGGAUUUCAGUUGUCAAUGAUAUUUACAUUGAAAAUGUUUUUCCCUGCUUUUCUCAGUUGAAACAAAAAUUCUCUCUCUCUCUAGUGCACAAUUUUUUAGAUAUUUGCAGCUCCAAAAUUUUGUUAAAAACUCAUUCCCUGAUUUUCUGAAUCUUCCUCCAAAAUCUUUGCUUGAUCAGAUUCUUGAAGCAGCCUUAGAUAAAAAGGGUGUUUUGUCUACGCUUUACAGGCUGAUUUCCUCCAUUUCCACUUCCUCUCUUUUAUUAAACAAGCUAAAAAAAGCUUUAAAAAAAACAGAACUACAUCGACCCCAACAAAAUCAAGCGUUUAGGACACAAAACUAGAGCGCAAUGUGUCAUAUUACUUUGAGAUCUACACCCACUAGAGGGAAACGUAAUCGGCAACAGGAAACUUUCAUUAUUUUUUAUCCAUGUCAAAGGAUUAUUUCACCACCAUUUGUGAAUCUGAGAGGAGGAGAUAUAUUAAGAAACAAAAUUUUAUUGGUCUAUGUCAGUGCCCCUUUUCCUAACCUUCCUUUUGUUUGAGAAAUGAUACAAAUGAACGGCCCAAUGUAAAAAUACCCUGACAUCAACUAUUUGUGUCCUAAAUGCUUGUUUUUUUUAGGUCAACAGCUUAUAAAAAUGUAGUUCUGGGUAUUUUAGCUAGUUUACUGUACACUUUGUCACAGAAGCUUUUAGGCAUUGCUCUGUUUUUUGUUAUAAGUCAGAAAUUACAAGAAGGCAGCUUCCCGCAAUAGAAAGUCAAUGGAGAGCAUUGGAUUGUUUCCCCCCCCGGUGGGCGUGGUUUUCAGAUUAUGACGCGUGUCACUCUGUCUCUAUUGCUAACUCCCUCUACCCAGCUGGCUUUACUUAAGGCAGGGGAAACCUAAAACACCCUAGCACCAAUAGUGGUAAGAAAACAGGAAGAAAACUGCCCACAAUAUUCUUAUUAACAGGCUCAUGUCUGUUACACCUCAAAUAUGGCUGUGAGAACCACUUUACUGCAGAGUUUAGCUCCAACUUUGAUCAAACCCAUCUGCGAUUUUCUAA